UGAGAGCGGCGGACGGGUGAGUAAUGCCUAGGAAUCUGCCUGGUAGUGGGGGAUAACGCUCGGAAACGGACGCUAAUACCGCAUACGUCCUACGGGAGAAAGCAGGGGACCUUCGGGCCUUGCGCUAUCAGAUGAGCCUAGGUCGGAUUAGCUAGUUGGUGAGGUAAUGGCUCACCAAGGCGACGAUCCGUAACUGGUCUGAGAGGAUGAUCAGUCACACUGGAACUGAGACACGGUCCAGACUAAUACGGGAGGCAGCAGUGGGGAAUAUUGGACAAUGGGCGAAAGCCUGAUCCAGCCAUGCCGCGAGUGUGAAGAAGGUCUUCGGAUUGUAAAGCACUUUAAGUUGGGAGGAAGGGCAGUAACCUAAUACGUUAUUGUUUUGACGUUACCGACAGAAUAAGCACCGGCUAACUCUGUGCCAGCAGCCGCGGUAAUACAGAGGGUGCAAGCGUUAAUCGGAAUUACUGGGCGUAAAGCGCGCGUAGGUGGUUUGUUAAGUUGAAUGUGAAAUCCCCGGGCUCAACCUGGGAACUGCAUCCAAAACUGGCAAGCUAGAGUAGGGCAGAGGGUGGUGGAAUUUCCUGUGUAGCGGUGAAAUGCGUAGAUAUAGGAAGGAACACCAGUGGCGAAGGCGACCACCUGGGCUCAUACUGACACUGAGGUGCGAAAGCGUGGGGAGCCAACAGGAUUAGAUACCCUGGUAGUCCACGCCGUNAACGAUGUCAACUAGCCGUUGGAAUCCUUGAGAUNUUAGUGGCGCAGCUAACGCAUUAAGUUGACCGCCUGGGGAGUACGGC
RNAcentral lists this ribosomal RNA (800 nucleotides) under Pseudomonas sp. RNAcentral describes it as "bacterial SSU rRNA". It matches the Rfam family "Bacterial small subunit ribosomal RNA", at positions 90 to 886 of the family's 1533-position model. The record is from RNAcentral. Lineage: Bacteria; Pseudomonadati; Pseudomonadota; Gammaproteobacteria; Pseudomonadales; Pseudomonadaceae.